Suricata suricatta (meerkat) is the source of this 373-nucleotide long non-coding RNA. RefSeq lists it as uncharacterized. The record is from RefSeq and is a predicted model, not a curated record. NCBI's taxonomy places the organism in Eukaryota, Metazoa, Chordata, Mammalia, Carnivora, Herpestidae. The transcript is spliced from 3 exons.
AGGAAUGUCAGGAGGGGUUAGCCGUCGUACGCAGCAAAGGUAACCUCCACAUCACUGCUUCGCACCUUCAUGGAAAUUAAGCUCCGAUGAAUCCAGAGACGUGCUGAAAUCCUGGCGUCAAGAGCUUGUGGAGGAUAAUUGCAAUCAUCAUCGUAAUGAGCGUGGAGAACAAAUGCCUGGAUUAUGUUCCCUGACUUAAGACCACACCGCAUUCAGAAAGAUCAGUUCAUCACUAGUGGAUCUGGUAAUUUCCUAGGAGGCUCCCGACUGACGUCUGUGCUGGCUCUGCGGACCACGAUUUGAGGAGGUAGCAGGCUGUAGUUUGGGCCAUCUCUGGAUCUUCCCCACACCCAUCAUCGGUGACCAAACCACU